CGGGAGGCAGCAGUAGGGAAUAUUGGGCAAUGGGCGCAAGCCUGACCCAGCCAUGCCGCGUGCAGGAUGAAGGCGCUCAGCGUUGUAAACUGCUUUUAUCGGUGAAGAACGGCAGUCCUGCGGGAUUGUGUGACGGUAGCCGAGGAAUAAGCACCGGCUAACUCCGUGCCAGCAGCCGCGGUAAUACGGAGGGUGCAAGCGUUGUCCGGAUUUAUUGGGUUUAAAGGGUGCGUAGGUGGUCGUCUAAGUCUGGUUUUAAAGUUGGCUGCUUAACAGUCAAAGGUGGCUGGAAACUGGACGACUUGAAUGGGAUGGCGGUAGCCGGAAUGGGUCAUGUAGCGGUGAAAUGCAUAGAUAUGACCCGGAACACCGAUUGCGAAGGCAGGCUACUACGUCCCGAUUGACACUGAGGCACGAGAGCAUGGGUAGCGAACAGGAUUAGAUACCCUGGUAGUCCAUGCCGUAAACGAUGAUUACUGGCUGUGUGGUCUUUGGGCUGCGUGGCUGAGCGAAAGCGUUAAGUAAUCCACCUGGGGAGUACGCUGGCAACAGUGAAACUCAAAGGAAUUGACGG
Molecule: ribosomal RNA, 574 nt
Filed under: uncultured bacterium
Lineage: Bacteria
Description: bacterial SSU rRNA
Rfam family: Bacterial small subunit ribosomal RNA
Source: RNAcentral